AGUGAACGCUGGCGGUAGGCCUAACACAUGCAAGUCGAACGGCAGCACAGUAAGAGCUUGCUCUUACGGGUGGCGAGUGGCGGACGGGUGAGGAAUACAUCGGAAUCUACUUUUUCGUGGGGGAUAACGUAGGGAAACUUACGCUAAUACCGCAUACUACCUACGGGUUAAAGCAGGGGAUCUUCGGACCUUGCGCGAUUGAAUGAGCCGAUGUCGGAUUAGCUAGUUGGCGGGGUAAAGGCCCACCAAGGCGACGAUCCGUAGCUGGUCUGAGAGGAUGAUCAGCCACACUGGAACUGAGACACGGUCCAGACUCCUACGGGAGGCAGCAGUGGGGAAUAUUGGACAAUGGGCGCAAGCCUGAUCCAGCCAUACCGCGUGGGUGAAGAAGGCCUUCGGGUUGUAAAGCCCUUUUGUUGGGAAAGAAAAGCAGCAGGUUAAUACCCCGCUGUUCUGACGGUACCCAAAGAAUAAGCACCGGCUAACUUCGUG
Molecule: ribosomal RNA, 492 nt
Filed under: uncultured bacterium
Lineage: Bacteria
Description: partial 16S ribosomal RNA
Rfam family: Bacterial small subunit ribosomal RNA
Source: RNAcentral